RNAcentral lists this ribosomal RNA (1496 nucleotides) under uncultured bacterium. RNAcentral's name for it is "16S ribosomal RNA". It matches the Rfam family "Bacterial small subunit ribosomal RNA". The record is from RNAcentral.
GAUCNUKSCUCAGGAUGAACGCCGGCGGUGUGCCUAAUACAUGCAAGUCGUACGCACUGGCCCAACUGAUUGAUGGUGCUUGCACCUGAUUGACGAUGGAUCACCAGUGAGUGGCGGACGGGUGAGUAACACGUAGGUAACCUGCCCCGGAGCGGGGGAUAACAUUUGGAAACAGAUGCUAAUACCGCAUAACAACAAAAGCCACAUGGCUUUUGUUUGAAAGAUGGCUUUGGCUAUCACUCUGGGAUGGACCUGCGGUGCAUUAGCUAGUUGGUAAGGUAACGGCUUACCAAGGCGAUGAUGCAUAGCCGAGUUGAGAGACUGAUCGGCCACAAUGGAACUGAGACACGGUCCAUACUCCUACGGGAGGCAGCAGUAGGGAAUCUUCCACAAUGGGCGCAAGCCUGAUGGAGCAACACCGCGUGAGUGAAGAAGGGUUUCGGCUCGUAAAGCUCUGUUGUUGGAGAAGAACGUGCGUGAGAGUAACUGUUCACGCAGUGACGGUAUCCAACCAGAAAGUCACGGCUAACUACGUGCCAGCAGCCGCGGUAAUACGUAGGUGGCAAGCGUUAUCCGGAUUUAUUGGGCGUAAAGCGAGCGCAGGCGGUUGCUUAGGUCUGAUGUGAAAGCCUUCGGCUUAACCGAAGAAGUGCAUCGGAAACCGGGCGACUUGAGUGCAGAAGAGGACAGUGGAACUCCAUGUGUAGCGGUGGAAUGCGUAGAUAUAUGGAAGAACACCAGUGGCGAAGGCGGCUGUCUGGUCUGCAACUGACGCUGAGGCUCGAAAGCAUGGGUAGCGAACAGGAUUAGAUACCCUGGUAGUCCAUGCCGUAAACGAUGAGUGCUAGGUGUUGGAGGGUUUCCGCCYUUCAGUGCCGGAGCUAACGCAUUAAGCACUCCGCCUGGGGAGUACGACCGCAAGGUUGAAACUCAAAGGAAUUGACGGGGGCCCGCACAAGCGGUGGAGCAUGUGGUUUAAUUCGAAGCUACGCGAAGAACCUUACCAGGUCUUGACAUCUUGCGCUAACCUUAGAGAUAAGGCGUUCCCUUCGGGGACGCAAUGACAGGUGGUGCAUGGUCGUCGUCAGCUCGUGUCGUGAGAUGUUGGGUUAAGUCCCGCAACGAGCGCAACCCUUGUUACUAGUUGCCAGCAUUAAGUUGGGCACUCUAGUGAGACUGCCGGUGACAAACCGGAGGAAGGUGGGGACGACGUCAGAUCAUCAUGCCCCUUAUGACCUGGGCUACACACGUGCUACAAUGGACGGUACAACGAGUCGCAAGCUCGCGAGAGUAAGCUAAUCUCUUAAAGCCGUUCUCAGUUCGGACUGUAGGCUGCAACUCGCCUACACGAAGUCGGAAUCGCUAGUAAUCGCGGAUCAGCAUGCCGCGGUGAAUACGUUCCCGGGCCUUGUACACACCGCCCGUCACACCAUGGGAGUUUGUAACGCCCAAAGUCGGUGGCCUAACCUUUAUGGAGGGAKCCGCCUAAGGCGGGA